GGCAGUUCUCAGCUGAUGCCCCAGAAUCGGGCUCCCUCCUCUCUGGUUCCAGGGUGUGUCACCCGAGAACCACU
Non-coding RNA from Myotis brandtii (Brandt's bat), 74 nucleotides. The record is from Rfam. NCBI's taxonomy places the organism in Eukaryota, Metazoa, Chordata, Mammalia, Chiroptera, Vespertilionidae.